Marmota marmota marmota (Alpine marmot) is the source of this 98-nucleotide small nuclear RNA. The record is from Ensembl. NCBI's taxonomy places the organism in Eukaryota, Metazoa, Chordata, Mammalia, Rodentia, Sciuridae.
GUGUGUGUGUGUCCCUACCUCCUAAAUUUAGAAGGAUACAGAGAAGAUUAACAUGGCCCCUACUCAAGGAUGACAUUCACAGUGAAUUCCAACUUUAU